This 545-nucleotide ribosomal RNA is filed under the name uncultured Megamonas sp. RNAcentral describes it as "bacterial SSU rRNA". It matches the Rfam family "Bacterial small subunit ribosomal RNA", at positions 523 to 1066 of the family's 1533-position model. The record is from RNAcentral. Lineage: Bacteria; Bacillati; Bacillota; Negativicutes; Selenomonadales; Selenomonadaceae.
AUACGUAGGCGGCAAGCGUUGUCCGGAAUUAUUGGGCGUAAAGGGAGCGCAGGCGGGAAACUAAGCGGAUCUUAAAAGUGCGGGGCUCAACCCCGUGAUGGGGUCCGAACUGGUUUUCUUGAGUGCAGGAGAGGAAAGCGGAAUUCCCAGUGUAGCGGUGAAAUGCGUAGAUAUUGGGAAGAACACCAGUGGCGAAGGCGGCUUUCUGGACUGUAACUGACGCUGAGGCUCGAAAGCUAGGGUAGCGAACGGGAUUAGAUACCCCGGUAGUCCUAGCCGUAAACGAUGGAUACUAGGUGUGGGAGGUAUCGACUCCUUCCGUGCCGGAGUUAACGCAAUAAGUAUCCCGCCUGGGGAGUACGGCCGCAAGGUUGAAACUCAAAGGAAUUGACGGGGGCCCGCACAAGCGGUGGAGUAUGUGGUUUAAUUCGACGCAACGCGAAGAACCUUACCAAGACUUGACAUUGAUUGAAAGCUUAGAGAUAAGUUCCUUCUCUUCGGAGAACAAGAAAACAGGUGGUGCAUGGCUGUCGUCAGCUCGUGUC